AUCCUCCUAAUGCUUACCACAGACAGUGAACCACAGCGUUCUGUCUGUAUAGAAACGGGAGGUACAUGAACCUCUCCUAACAUUCGUGCUGUGCUAGCUAAUGUCUGGUAGGGCGACACUGUUGGGUGAGACAG
RNAcentral lists this small nucleolar RNA (134 nucleotides) under Kryptolebias marmoratus (mangrove rivulus). RNAcentral's name for it is "Small nucleolar RNA SNORA51 (ENSKMAG00000019496.1)". Lineage: Eukaryota; Metazoa; Chordata; Actinopteri; Cyprinodontiformes; Rivulidae. The record is from RNAcentral.